This 500-nucleotide ribosomal RNA is filed under the name uncultured bacterium. RNAcentral's name for it is "partial 16S ribosomal RNA". It matches the Rfam family "Bacterial small subunit ribosomal RNA", at positions 28 to 507 of the family's 1533-position model. The record is from RNAcentral.
GACGAACGCUGGCGGCGUGCCUAAUACAUGCAAGUCGUGCGGACCUUGUCGAAAGCUUGCUUUUAAAAGGUUAGCGGCGGACGGGUGAGUAACACGUGGGCAACCUGCCUGUAAGACUGGGAUAACGCCGGGAAACCGGGGCUAAUACCAGAUCGUUUUUUCCUCCGCAUGGAGGAAAAAGGAAAGGCGGCUUCGGCUGCCACUUACAGAUGGGCCCGCGGCGCAUUAGCUAGUUGGCGGGGUAAUGGCCCACCAAGGCAACGAUGCGUAGCCGACCUGAGAGGGUGAUCGGCCACAUUGGGACUGAGACACGGCCCAAACUCCUACGGGAGGCAGCAGUAGGGAAUCUUCCGCAAUGGACGAAAGUCUGACGGAGCAACGCCGCGUGAGUGAAGAAGGCCUUCGGGUCGUAAAACUCUGUUGCCGGGGAAGAACAAGUGCCGUUCGAACAGGGCGGCGCCUUGACGGUACCCGGCCAGAAAGCCACGGCUAACUACGUG